Molecule: long non-coding RNA, 1617 nt
Organism: Mustela erminea (ermine)
Lineage: Eukaryota; Metazoa; Chordata; Mammalia; Carnivora; Mustelidae
Exons: 3
Source: RefSeq, a predicted model, not a curated record
CCCAAGGCCAGAUGCCGCCAGCAGCAGGUCCCACACGGUUGGCGGCUGUGCCCCGGCCUGGGUCCCCAUGCUACGGAGCCUACAUAUGGUGGCGCUUACCACGCGCCUCUGCCCGCUGGAAGGUCCUGCUGUGGUGGUGGGGAGACCCCCCCGGCCUCCCUGGGGGGCCGGGGGGAGCGCAGGAAAGCCCCCCAGCAGUGGUGUCACCAAAUCCUCCUCCCAAGAAGGGGGCCUCUUUCUGAGGGACUCCCCGGGAGGGCACGCUGCCCGCUCUCUGAGCCUCAGCCCCUUCCUCUUGCUUUCUGGGCGCCGGUCCCUUCGGGCAGGGAGCCUGGGACAGAAGCCCGCCCGUCGUGAGCGGAGCGGCCUCCGUCAGGGCCCGGCAUGAGCGGAGCGGCCUCCGUCAGGGCCCGGCGUGAGCGGAGCGGCCUCCGUCAGGGCCCGGCGUGAGCGGAGCAGCCUCCGUCAGGGCCCGGCGUGAGCGGAGCGGCCUCCGUCAGGGCCCGGCGUGAGCGGAGCGGCCUCCGUCAGGGCCCGGCGUGAGCAGAGUGGCUUCCGUCAAGGCGCAGAGGAGAAGCCCCGUGCGCGCAGCGAGUUCCCUGCCUCUACCCCGUGGGUGACGCCUCGGGGGGCUGCUGCGACCAAGCUGGUCAAGGACCAUCUCGCGGGACGGCAGGGGCUUCCUGCCUGGCUGGUGCCAGGGGCAAAGCAGAGAAGGACCUGGAAGGCCUCGGCUCCAUGGCAGAAAAGGCAACUGACACGUGAGCCGAGAAGGCCAGUCCCCCAAGCAGCCGCCUUCCUGUGCGAGCCCUACCUGAGCCGCUGCCCCUCAAGGACACGUGGCCCACACCCCCCCGGUGUCUGGGUUUCAGAUCAGAGUCCGCGUCCUCAGGAUCAUCAGGGUCAGAGGACAGCAGUUAUCUGACUGUCCAACCGUCCAGCCACAUCCCAUAAACAGUGACCUGCGAAAUGUCCUCUAGGAGAUCUGCCCAGUCCGGGGGGAGCCCGACAGGAACGCCCGCCCGGCCUGCUCGGGGAAGGACAGAGAGCCCAGAGUCCUGUCCGCUCACCUUGGCGGACUCUGGCCCAGGGGAGGAAAGGGUCAGACUUCCUGUCAGGAGGGCACGGGAAUAAACCGCUGGUUCGCAGACUCGCCCGCGCACAGCCGGCCUUCCUGUCUGGGGGCCUCGUGCCCAGUGAGCCUCCCUCGUGAGAUGCGGACGCCGCCCGCGCUGGGACAGGGGUCAAGCCUCGCCCCCCAGCCCGACCUGCUUUGCGAAUGUUGGUGACAUCGCCCCUGGUCACCACACCUCCUACUCCCCCAGCGGCUGUGUGGGGACAUGCGUGUGUGUGCUCUCCCUGUGGGUCCCAUGGGGCCUCGGGGCGGGAGGUCAUCCCAGGGACGCCUUAAAGCGGCCACAUGCACACACGUCCCACAAUCCUUGAGGCCUGCAGGCGGUGCUGGGGGAGCUGGGUCAGGGCCGGUGGGCGGCUGGGGGAGUGGGGGUUCCGUGUCCUGGGCAAGCCAGGCCCCUAGGUCCCCAGCUGUCCCUGGGAGACGGUCGCUGGGUGGGAAGUCACGGAUGAACUCUGGCGGGCUCACAGGCAUGUGUAAGG